UUGACUCAUUUGUACAAGUUCUCAGAGAGGCCAGUGUGAGACAAGAGUUUUGAUGUCGUCCGGCGGGCCGCCCCUCCACAGACGGGGGGAGCCGGCACGCCGAAGCAACGGUACGAGGUAACGUUCACAAUGGUGUGGGAGUUUUGCAACUCUGUAAUGAUCCCUCCGCUGGUUCACCAACGGAGA
RNAcentral lists this unclassified non-coding RNA (186 nucleotides) under uncultured fungus. RNAcentral's name for it is "sequence contains ITS1". Lineage: Eukaryota; Fungi. The record is from RNAcentral.